CUUGUGUAUGGGUAUUGGCUGAGGUGAUUAUUGGAAGAAAUUGUGGAUACAUGAUGCAUGGAAGAAUGGAAUAUCUGGAGAUUGUAUUUAAGGGCAUGGAACCCUAGGCAACGAAAGCGGAGAGGAAUACAACUUUCAUUUUUGUCUCUAGGAUUUUCUUUUUCACUUUUCUAGAUUUUUUUAUUGUUUGAUUUUUGGUGAGAGAGUGAAUUGCAUUAUUUAUUAUUUUUGGAGCUUCACCAUGGUUUUAAAAAUCGAACCGAACCAGCCGGUCCGAC
This 278-nucleotide long non-coding RNA is filed under the name Vitis vinifera (wine grape). Its description in RNAcentral is "long non-coding RNA (VVIN_LNC000157)". The record is from RNAcentral. Lineage: Eukaryota; Viridiplantae; Streptophyta; Magnoliopsida; Vitales; Vitaceae.